AAGACUAUACUUUCAGGGAUCAUUUCUAUAGUUUGUAACAUAUAGUUGUAACUGUAAACUAAAAAUUAAUCACUAUUUGA
RNAcentral lists this small nucleolar RNA (80 nucleotides) under Canis lupus familiaris (dog). RNAcentral's name for it is "Small nucleolar RNA U3 (multiple genes)". The stretch from base 1 to 41 matches the Rfam family "Small nucleolar RNA U3", at positions 1 to 41 of the family's 219-position model. From Rfam's summary of the family: Small nucleolar RNAs (snoRNAs) are involved in the processing and modification of rRNA in the nucleolus. There are two main classes of snoRNAs: the box C/D class, and the box H/ACA class. RNAcentral also lists the same sequence under 1 other name. Lineage: Eukaryota; Metazoa; Chordata; Mammalia; Carnivora; Canidae. The record is from Rfam by way of RNAcentral.